Molecule: non-coding RNA, 82 nt
Organism: Acanthosepion pharaonis
Lineage: Eukaryota; Metazoa; Mollusca; Cephalopoda; Sepiida; Sepiidae
Source: the annotation of a GenBank genome assembly
GGCCAUAUCACGUUGAAACACCGGUUCUCGUCCGAUCACCGAUGUUAAGCAAUGUUGAGCCUGCUCAGUACCUAGUUUGGUG